AUUGAACGCUGGCGGCAUGCCUUACACAUGCAAGUCGAACGGUAGAGUAGCAAUACUUGAGAGUGGCGAACGGGUGAGUAAUAUAUCGGAACGUGCCCAGUCGUGGGGGGAUAACGUAGAGAAAUUUACGCUAAUACCGCAUACGAUCUAAGGAUGAAAGCGGGGGAUUCGCAAGAACCUCGCGCGAUUGGAGCGGCUGAUAUCAGAUUAGGUUGUUGGUGAGGUAAAAGCUCACCAAGCCGACGAUCUGUAGCUGGUUUGAGAGAACGACCAGCCACACUGGGACUGAGACACGGCCCAGACUCCUACGGGAGGCAGCAGUGGGGAAUUUUGGACAAUGGGCGCAAGCCUGAUCCAGCAAUGCCGCGUGCAGGAUGAAGGCCUUCGGGUUGU
Molecule: ribosomal RNA, 393 nt
Filed under: uncultured bacterium
Lineage: Bacteria
Description: bacterial SSU rRNA
Rfam family: Bacterial small subunit ribosomal RNA
Source: RNAcentral